This 494-nucleotide ribosomal RNA is filed under the name uncultured bacterium. RNAcentral's name for it is "partial 16S ribosomal RNA". It matches the Rfam family "Bacterial small subunit ribosomal RNA", at positions 28 to 507 of the family's 1533-position model. The record is from RNAcentral.
GACGAACGCUGGCGGCGUGCUUAACACAUGCAAGUCGAACGGUGAAGCGCCUUCCCUUUUGGUGGGUGUGGAUGAGUGGCGAACGGGUGAGUAACACGUGAGUAACCUGCCCCCUUCUUCUGGAUAACCGCAUGAAAGUGUGGCUAAUACGGGAUAUUCUGGGUCUGUCGCAUGAUGGGUCUGGGAAAGAUAUUGUUUCGGUGGGGGAUGGGCUCGCGGCCUAUCAGCUUGUUGGUGGGGUGAUGGCCUACCAAGGCGGUGACGGGUAGCCGGCCUGAGAGGGUGGACGGUCACACUGGGACUGAGACACGGCCCAGACUCCUACGGGAGGCAGCAGUGGGGAAUAGUGCACAAUGGGCGCAAGCCUGAUGCAGCGACGCCGCGUGAGGGAUGGAGGCCUUCGGGUUGUGAACCUCUUUCGCCAGUGAAGCAGGCCUGCCUCGUUUGUGGGUGGGUUGACGGUAGCUGGAUAAGAAGCGCCGGCUAACUACGUG